CAAGUCGAGUGCGCGUUCCGUAGCAAUACGGAAUGGCGCACGGCGCACGGGUGCGUAACACGUGGGUAAUCUGCCCUUCGAUGGGGAAUAACCUCGCGAAAGCGAGGCUAAUUCCGCAUAACAUUCCUUGGACUCCGGUCUGAGGAUUCAAAGGCGCAAGUCGUCGGAGGUGGAGCCCGCGCACGAUUAGCUAGUUGGUGAGGUAAUGGCUCACCAAGGCUAUGAUCGUUAGCUGGUCUGAGAGGAUGGCCAGCCACACUGGAACUGAGACACGGUCCAGACUCCUACGGGAGGCAGCAGUGGGGAAUCUUGCACAAUGGGCGAAAGCCUGAUGCAGCGACGCCGCAUGGGGGAUGAAGCUUCUCGGAGUAUAAACCCCUUUCGACCGGGACGAAUGCCCGCAAGGGAGUGACGGUACCGGUAUAAGAAGCCCCGGCUAACUACGUGCCAGCAGCCGCGGUAAGACGUAGGGGGCCAGCGUUGCUCGGAAUUACUGGGUGUAAAGGGUUCGUAGGCGGUGUGGCAAGUCGGGAGUGAAAUCUCUGGGCUCAACUCAGAGGCUGCUUCCGAAACUGCUGUGCUUGAGUGUGGGAGAGGCGCGUGGAAUUGCAGGUGUAGCGGUGAAAUGCGUAGAUAUCUGCAGGAACACCCGUGGCGAAAGCGGCGCGCUGGACCACUACUGACGCUGAGGAACGAAAGCUAGGGGAGCAAACAGGAUUAGAUACCCUGGUAGUCCUAGCCCUAAACGAUCAGGACUUGGGGUGCCACCCGUUCGGGUGUCGUCCCGGAGCUAACGCGUUAAGUCCUGCACCUGGGGAGUACGGUCGCAAGACUGAAACUCAAAGGAAUUGACGGGGGCCC
Molecule: ribosomal RNA, 861 nt
Filed under: uncultured Acidobacteriota bacterium
Lineage: Bacteria; Pseudomonadati; Acidobacteriota
Description: bacterial SSU rRNA
Rfam family: Bacterial small subunit ribosomal RNA
Source: RNAcentral